This 492-nucleotide ribosomal RNA is filed under the name uncultured bacterium. RNAcentral describes it as "partial 16S ribosomal RNA". It matches the Rfam family "Bacterial small subunit ribosomal RNA", at positions 29 to 507 of the family's 1533-position model. The record is from RNAcentral.
AGUGAACGCUGGCGGUAGGCCUAACACAUGCAAGUCGAACGGCAGCACAGUAAGAGCUUGCUCUUACGGGUGGCGAGUGGCGGACGGGUGAGGAAUACAUCGGAAUCUACUUUUUCGUGGGGGAUAACGUAGGGAAACUUACGCUAAUACCGCAUACGACCUACGGGUGAAAGCAGGGGAUCUUCGGACCUUGCGCGAUUGAAUGAGCCGAUGUCGGAUUAGCUAGUUGGCGGGGUAAGGGCCCACCAAGGCGACGAUCCGUAGCUGGUCUGAGAGGAUGAACAGCCACACUGGAAGUGAGACACGGUCCAGACUCCUACGGGAGGCAGCAGUGGGGAAUAUUGGACAAUGGAGGCAAGCCGGAUACAGCCAUACCGCGUGGGUGAAGAAGGCCUUCGGGUUGUAAAGCCCUUUUGUUGGGAAAGAAGAGCAGCAGGUUAAUACCCCGCUGUUCUGACGGUACCCGAAGAAUAAGCACCGGCUAACUUCGUG